Oncorhynchus keta (chum salmon) is the source of this 432-nucleotide long non-coding RNA. RefSeq lists it as uncharacterized. NCBI's taxonomy places the organism in Eukaryota, Metazoa, Chordata, Actinopteri, Salmoniformes, Salmonidae. The record is from RefSeq and is a predicted model, not a curated record. The transcript is spliced from 3 exons.
AGAGCACCUGCGGUGAAAGGUGACAGAGCUAGAGCAUCUGUGGUGACAGAGCUCGAGCAUCUGCAGUGAAAGGUGACAGAGCUAGAGCAUCUGUGGUGAAAGGUGACAGAGCUAGAGCAUCUGCGGUGAAAGGUGACAGAGCUAGAGCAUCUGCAGUGAAAGGUGACAGAGCUAGAGCACCUGCGGUGAAAGGUGACAGAGCUAGAGCACCUGCGGUGAAAGGUGACAGAGCUAGAGCACCUGCGGUGAAAGGUGACAGAGCUAGAGCAUCUGCAGUGAAAGGUGACAGAGCUAGAGCAUCUGUGGUGACAGAGCUCGAGCAUCUGCAGUGAAAGGUGACAGAGCUAGAGCAUCUGUGGUGACAGAGCGAGAGCGUGGUUUUUCAGACCAUGAGACACCCCAAAAAUUGGUCUUCUCACAAAACCGUCUCUA